GGUAGUAAGAUGGUAUCUUUGGUAUUUUGAAGUGGCAAGGGUGCUGUGGUUAGUGUGUAUUGAUGCAAAAAAAAAUCAAUUGUUAAAGUUGUACAGAACUUUUUUUGGUCACAUUCGCUACCAUUAUUGAAUUUGAUUUAUUUUAAGAAAGAAUUUAUUAAUGAUGGGUAUAUGAAAAUUUAGGAUGUGUGUCUUCUCCAAUCAUUCAUUGUAGAUUCACAUGAAAGAUCAUCUCACAGGAAGAAAAGUAUGUUUAAUU
RNAcentral lists this long non-coding RNA (259 nucleotides) under Setaria viridis. Its description in RNAcentral is "long non-coding RNA (SVIR_LNC002226)". Lineage: Eukaryota; Viridiplantae; Streptophyta; Magnoliopsida; Poales; Poaceae. The record is from RNAcentral.